GCCCCCGUAGCUCAGCGGAUCAGAGCAGAGGUUUCCUAAACCUCGUGCGCAGGUUCGACUCCUGCCGGGGGCA
RNAcentral lists this transfer RNA (73 nucleotides) under Actinomycetota bacterium. RNAcentral's name for it is "tRNA-Arg". It matches the Rfam family "tRNA". From Rfam's summary of the family: Transfer RNA (tRNA) molecules are approximately 80 nucleotides in length. Their secondary structure includes four short double-helical elements and three loops (D, anti-codon, and T loops). The record is from RNAcentral. Lineage: Bacteria; Bacillati; Actinomycetota.